CCUACGGGAGGCAGCAGUAAGGAAUCUUUCACAAUGGGCGAAAGCCUGAUGGAGCAACGCCGCGUGCAGGAUGAAGGCCUUCGGGUUGUAAACUGCUUUUAUAAGCGAGAAAUAUGAUGGUAACUUAUGAAUAAGGAUCGGCUAACUACGUGCAAGCAGCCGCGGUCAUACGUAGGAUCCGAGCAUUAUCCGGAUUGACUGGGUGUAAAGAGUUGCGUAGGUGGCAUAAUAAGUAGCUAGUGAAAUCUGGUGGCUAAACCAUUCAGACUAUUAGCUAAACUGUUAAGCUCGAGACCGUUGGGGGUAAAUGGAACUUCUAGUGUAGGAGUGAAAUCCGUAGAUAUUAGAAGGAACACCAAUAGCGUAGGCAGGUUGCUGGGACGGUUCUGACACUAAGGCACGAAAGCGUAGGGAGCAAACGGGAUUAGAUACCCCAGUAGUC
RNAcentral lists this ribosomal RNA (442 nucleotides) under uncultured bacterium. Its description in RNAcentral is "partial 16S ribosomal RNA". It matches the Rfam family "Bacterial small subunit ribosomal RNA", at positions 338 to 795 of the family's 1533-position model. The record is from RNAcentral.